AGGAUCGUGCUCUGGGCCAAAGGCAGGCGCUAAACUGCUGCGCCACCCAGGGUUCCCCGUGUUUAUUUUUUUAUUACAACAAUUCCAUUGCCAUUCUUGUCAGUAAACUGAUUAAGCUGAGAGAACUAUGGCUUGGUAAGACACUAUUUAGUUCGGUUUUCUACAUUUUUAACAAUCUUCAAGAACUUAAUACAUUCCUCAAGGGGAACAGAAGGCUUAGACUAGAGGAGAUAAACCCAAGAGUGUUUUAAAGUACCAUAUUGAGGGCUUCAGAAAACCUGGCAUCCUAUGUCUCCUACCUCUCCGCAUCUCUGGGAUGGCACAGUGAUGCUCCUGCCACCUCUGCUGGAUGACGGCAUCUGCAGCCCACCGCUGUUCUGUCUAAGCGAGUGUGCCAGAAGGCUUGGAGGACUGCAGCUGCCCGUGCAGGGCAAAAACAUCCUCUGGGUAGCUAAAGCUCGGACUUCUUUCUAAGCAGGGUACCUUUUACCAGGGUCCCUUCAUGGAAACCACAUAUAUACAUAAAAGACCUGCCAUAGUAUUUAGCCUAAUGGCUGUGCCGUUUAUGAAGAUCAACCACAGGUGAAGAAGGCCUUUUAUGUUUUGUACCUGAGUAUCAAACAUAAUGUAUAUUUAGUGCUCAAAACUUUAUUGUAGAAGUAUGCCCAUUUUGUUUUUUUUUUGUUUUUUUUUUUUUCCUUACAAAAGGGCUUAUAAACCCUGUAGGUAAAAAAUUAAGAAUUCCCAUUUGGGGGAAUUAAAGUUUCUGGUCACCAAAACAAACAAAAAGCCAAAAAAACCUUUGAAGGUGUUCCUGAUUCUGUAGGUUGGAGAUGGGACAUGAAUAUUUGUAGUUCUUGCAGGUUCCCAGGUAACUCUUUCUUUUCGGAUUGUGGUCCAGGGCCAGCAGCAUCAGUAUCACCUGGUAGUUUGUUAAUAGUGCAGACUCUCACAGGUUCUCAGGCCCACAGGAGACCUUCUGUAUCAGAAUCUGAAUUUUAACAUGGUGCCAGGUGAGGAGUGCACAUAGCCACAAACUGAAUAGCAAGAGUUGGAUAGCCCCAAGAAGUUGUUUCUCUUGUUCCAGUCUUGUUGGAGGUGAUGGCAGCCUUUAGAGCGUCUCCCCCACCCCCCUGCCCCGAGCCUUGACUUUCUGGUUGGUACUUGCUGGUCAGUGACCUGGCCGAUGCUGUCCGCUGCCUCAGUGUGAUUUGCCUGGCUUUGAAUACUCCUCUGUACACCCCUGAAUGGAAAUACUACUUGGUUCUGCUCCAGAAUAUUAGUUCUGAAAAAUGUCAAGAAGGUGAAUGCCUAAACAUCUGCUUCCCUUUCUGCUUUCCACUCCUUUCUCUCAACUCCCACAUUUGUGAGCUCUGUUCCAUCAGCAUCCUUUAGCAAAUACACAGAAGGCCAAAGCACCACCUCUGCGGAGCACUGUUAUAGGAAGGCUCCAAAUACAUAUUUAAAGGUCCAGAAAAAUGAACGGUGAUCAAGUGCCUGUGUGGGGUAUGGUUGGAGGUUAUUUGACAAGAAUUGCUGACCAGCCUGACAGGUCAGGGCUGUGCCUAUCAGUCCCAGACUGAGAGGAAUCUAAAACUGUUCAGAAAGAAAGCAAGGACAGCAGCAAGGCAGUGGAUCUUAAUGUACUGCCCAGCAUCGAAUAGGUGGAAAUUGAGCCUAACUUUCUCCUAUUUUGCCCCAUCAACUGCCACCGUUUUGUCUGUAAAAGAUCACAGAAGUAACAACAAUGCAAGGGGUUUGGAAAAUAGAAUAGCAAAUAGCAAAUAUUUACCCACUGCCCCACUGCCAUAUAUAGUUAUAUAUGUUUUUCUAUCUGUCGCCAACCAUAUGUAAUAGGAAGAAUAAUGGACUCUCAGAGAUGUUCAUGUCCUAAUUCCUUGAGACUGGUAAUUUGUUAGGUUACAGACAAAUUUGGAAAUUAACAUUGCAGAAGGAAUGAAGUUUGCUUAUUGCUGACUUUAAAUGUAGAGGUUAUUUGGGAUUAUCUGGGUGGGCUCACUGUAAUCAUAAGAGUCCCUUAAAAGUGGAAGAGAGAGGCAGAAAACUCUGAGGGAAAUGUGACUGGAGGUAGGUCAGAGGGGCGUGAUGUGAGGACUCAAUUGGCCUUUGGGGACUUUGAAGACAGAGGAUAGGGCCACUGGCCAAGGAGUGUGGAUGCCCAAUAGAGGUUGUGAGAAGGAAAUGACUUCUCUUAUGUGGCCUUCAGAAAAGAACACUGCCCAGCCAAAACCUUGAUUUUAGGUCAAUAAGACCUGUAUUGAACUUCUGUCCUCCAAAAUUGUAAGAUAAUAAAUAUGCAUUACUUUAAGCAGCUAAGUUUGUGGUAAUGUGGAGCAUUACAGCAGCAAUAGAAAAGUAAGACACCAUAUUUUUUUUCACCAUAUUUCUUAUAGUUACAUCAUGCCUAAAUAUUUUUUGGGGGGUUGCAGUAGUUUUUGUAAUUAUUUGAAUGGCCAUGUGUUAUUCUGUGGAGCUGAAGUACUGUCAUUCCUUAGCCAUAUGUUCACUUGAAAAUCAGAUAUGUGAACUGCUUCCUGUAUUUCCUUUUUUUCAUGUUUCAUUAUUUUCUAAGGAUAUUCUAUCAGAAUUACAUUUGGACUUUGAAUUUCUUCCAGUUUUUCUAUAUUUAACUUUAAGAAAAAAAUCUCUGAAGUCCAUUUGAAAUUUUUAAAAAUAUUUGUUUAGAGAGAGUGUGUGCCUGCGUGCACACUCUCACGUGUGC
Molecule: long non-coding RNA, 2743 nt
Organism: Canis lupus familiaris (dog)
Lineage: Eukaryota; Metazoa; Chordata; Mammalia; Carnivora; Canidae
Exons: 3
Source: RefSeq, a predicted model, not a curated record